Molecule: ribosomal RNA, 3453 nt
Filed under: Candidatus Shapirobacteria bacterium CG09_land_8_20_14_0_10_39_12
Lineage: Bacteria; Candidatus Shapironibacteriota
Description: bacterial LSU rRNA
Rfam family: Bacterial large subunit ribosomal RNA
Source: RNAcentral
AAGCUACUUAAUUAAAGCAAACAAUGGAUGCCUUGGCUGUUUGAGCCGAUAAAGGACGUUGCCGUCAGCGAAAAUCGUCGGGAAGGUGACAAGCAACCCGUGAUCCGACGGUCUCCGAAUGGGAAAACCCACCCCGCCUUUGGCGGGGUACCCCCGCCGUAGGCGGGGGGGGGAACUUGGAGAACUGAAACAUCUUAGUACCCAAAGGAAAAGAAAAAAUUCCGUUAGUAGCGGCGAGCGAAAGCGGAAAAGCCCAAACUCUUCGAUUCGAUUUUGCUUCGCAAAACCUCACUCAGAGCUAUAGCCCUGAGGAGUUAUAAAGGGGUCAUUGACCCUGAGCGAGGCGAAGCCGAGUCGAAGGGGGUUGUAGGGUCCUGCGUAAUAAUUCUUUGCGGAUAGAAAAAUGCCUUGGAAUAGGCAACCAAAGAGAGUGAAAGUCUCGUAUUCGAAAUUCAAGAGGAAUUUGCGGGAUUCCUGAGUACCACGGAAGACGCAACUUUUGUGGGAAUCUGUGGUUCGAUAAAACUCACCACACGGUGAGCGGAGUCGAAUCCGUGGGGCUCCACGCCCCAAGGCUAAAUACUCAAACAGACCGAUAGUGAACUAGUACCGUGAGGGAAAGGUGAAAAGUCCCCGUGAGAGGGAGUGAAAUAGAACCUGAAAUUGUUUGCUAACAAGCAGAGAGAGUCCCUCGGCCGCAAGGCUCGGGAUGAUCUCGUGCCUAUUGAAGAAUGAGCCGGCGAGUUUCCGAUAAAUGUAUUAGGUUAAGGUAUUUUGUACCGAAACCGCAGUGAAAGCAAGCCUUAAUAGGGCGUUUAGCAAUUAUCGGAAGACCCGAAACCGGGCGAGCUAACCAUGAGCAGGGUGCCCCCCGCCUAACGGCGGGGUAAAGCCCGAACCCGUUGCUGCUGCAAGAGCAUGGGAUGACUUGUGGUUAGAGGUAAUAUGCCUAACGAGCCCGGAGAUAUCUGGCUCUCCCCGAAAUAUAUAUUGGUAUAGCGUUUCUGAAAAUUUUGUUGGGGUAGAGCACUGGAUGGGAUGAACAACGCAAGUUGUUCAUUUCAACCAAACUCCGAAUACGACAAAAUUAAGAGAAAUAGUCAGUCCCGCCGGGCUAAGCUGGUGGGGCAAAAGGGAAACAACCCAGACUUUCGUCUAAGGCCUCUAAAUCUUACUUAAGUGUGAAAGGAAGUGAAAUUCCUCAGACACCUAGGAGGUUGGCUUAGAAGCAGCCAUCCUUCAAAGAAAGCGUAACAGCUCACUAGGCGAGGAAUUUUGCGCCGAAAAUCUAUCGAGGCUAAAGUAGGUGCCGAAGACAAAGUCCCGCGGAGCUUUGUGCGAAGUGGGAGGUAGGGGAGCGUUCUCAGACUGGUGAAGUUUCACUGUGAGGUGGAAUGGAAGGCUGAGAAGUGGGAAUGCCGGCAUGAGUAGCGAGAUUCCGAUGAGAAUUCGGAACGCCGUAUGUCCAAGGUUUCCCCGACAACGUUCGUCGGUCGGGGGUUAGUCGGUCCUAAGGUGAGCCCCGUUAAAACCCUGGUGAUAGAGUCAUCACUGCGAUAGAUUGUUUUAUGACACCCUAACGCAGCGAGGCUUUUUAUGACCAUGGUUUUAACGGGGGUAGCCGAUGGAUAACAGAUUGAUAUUUCUGUACUAUUGAUAGUUUGUUUGAGCUGGGGAUGGACAAGAUUGGAAGAGCUUGGCAGAGCGAAGAAGUUGCUCUUGUCUAAAUUGCAAGGUAGUGUUUUCAGGAAAAUCCGUUAACAUGAUUAAUCAAGCAAUGAAUGAAAGGCUGAGUUUAUCGAAGGCCAAUCAAGUUAGCUUUCAGUUUUCGAGAAAAGAUUCGCAGUGAGAACUAUUAAUAACCGUACCGCAAACCGACACAGGUGGACUGGUAGAGAAUACUAAGGCGAUCGGGAGAAGGGGGUUUAAGGAAUUCGGCAAAUUAACUGGGCGUAAGGUAACGAGAUGCCCUGGCCCGCACAGUCGCCGCAAGGCGGCUUCUGCGGGCUCGCAGUGAAAGAUUGCUUGCCGACUGUUUACCAAAAACACAGGUCUCUGCAAAGCCGCAAGGCAAGGUAUAGGGGCUGAAGUCUGCCCAGUGCUGGGAGGUUAAGGGGAUGAGUGACCCUGAGUUUAUCGAAGGGGAGCUUUGAACUGAAGCCCCAGUAAACGGCAGCAGUAACUAUAACUGUUCGAUGGUAGCGAAGUCCUUUGUCGGGUAAGUUCCGACCCGUAUGAAAGACCCAACGAGCAAGCAACUGUCUUGAGCCCUCCCCCGGCGAAAUUGAAAUGGCUGUGAAGAUGCGGCCUACUUACUGCAGGACAAAAAGACCCUGUACAGCUUUACUAUAGCUUGGCAUUGGUUUAAAUUUGUUAACUGUUGAGAAUAGGAGGGAGCCCCGACGUUUACGUCGGGACGUCAGUGAAAUACCUCUCUUUGACAGAUUUAAACCUCACCUAUCCCGACUGGAGACGUCGGGGGGGACAAUGCCUGGUGGGUAGUUUGACUGGGGAAGUCGCUCCGUCAAGAGUAACCGGAGCGCACAAAGGUCGGCUUAGCGCGUAAGGAAAUCGCGCUGGACGUGUAAAGGCAUAAGCCGGCUUAAUAGCGAGACUGACAGGUCGAGCUAAUGCGAAAGCAGGUCUUAGUGAUCCCCCGACACAUUGUGGUAUGGUCGGGGCUUAACGGAUAAAAGCUACGUCAGGGAUAACAGGUUGGUCGCGCCCGAGAGUUCUUAUCGACGGCGCGGUUCGACACCUCGAUGAAUAAUCGUCGCCUCCAAUGGUAACGUUGGAGUGAAUAAUUCGGCUCAUAACGGUGGAGCCCUACUGAUAAAAGUGAAUGAGGGUAAUACCGUGGGAAGUCCCCCGCCUAAAUAUUUUAUAAUUUUUGGCGGGGUGACCCCGUAACGACUGAUUCCCAAUCGUAUUGGGAUGAGAUAGUUGUUUUUGGUGGAAUAUUCAACCAAAAUUUAUGACACCUAUCACACGCCGAACACCCCGAAAAAUUUUGGGGUGGUGGUAUAGUCUAUGCCAUUGGUAACAAUGGAGAACCAUGGUCGGCUCAGCGUAUCCUGGGGCUGAAGAAGGUCCCAAGGGUUGGACUGUUCGUCCAUUAAAACGCUACGUGAGCUGGGUUCAGAGCGUCGUGAGACAGCUCGGCCUCUAUCCGCAGUAAGCACAAGAUACUUGAGAGAAUCUGACCACAGUACGAGAGGACCUGGUUGGAGCGAUCCCUAGUGUGCCAGUUGUUAGCUGUCAAGCGCAUCGCUGGGUAGCUACAUCGCUUCGGGAUAACCGCUGAAAGCAUAUAAGCGGGAAGCCCAUCUCAAGAUUAAGUAUCUGUGUCCCCGCCAUCGGCGGGGGCGAAAGAUCCCAGAGAGACUAUCUGGUUAAUAGGCUGGCGGUGUAAGUGUCGCAAGAUAUUUAGCCUACCAGUACUAAUCGAUCGAA